Molecule: microRNA, 21 nt
Filed under: Hydra vulgaris (swiftwater hydra)
Lineage: Eukaryota; Metazoa; Cnidaria; Hydrozoa; Anthoathecata; Hydridae
Description: hma-miR-3009
Source: miRBase by way of RNAcentral
UUUCAUCAAAGUCACUAAUAA